RNAcentral lists this ribosomal RNA (427 nucleotides) under uncultured Rhizobacter sp. Its description in RNAcentral is "bacterial SSU rRNA". It matches the Rfam family "Bacterial small subunit ribosomal RNA", at positions 355 to 774 of the family's 1533-position model. The record is from RNAcentral. Lineage: Bacteria; Pseudomonadati; Pseudomonadota; Betaproteobacteria; Burkholderiales; Sphaerotilaceae.
UGGGGAAUUUUGGACAAUGGGCGCAAGCCUGAUCCAGCCAUGCCGCGUGUGGGAAGAAGGCCUUCGGGUUGUAAACCACUUUUGUCAGGGAAGAAACGGCUCUUACUAAUAUUAGGAGCUAAUGACGGUACCUGAAGAAUAAGCACCGGCUAACUACGUGCCAGCAGCCGCGGUAAUACGUAGGGUGCAAGCGUUAAUCGGAAUUACUGGGCGUAAAGCGUGCGCAGGCGGCUAUGCAAGACAGAUGUGAAAUCCCCGGGCUCAACCUGGGAACUGCAUUUGUGACUGCAUGGCUAGAGUACGGUAGAGGGGGAUGGAAUUCCGCGUGUAGCAGUGAAAUGCGUAGAUAUGCGGAGGAACACCGAUGGCGAAGGCAAUCCCCUGGACCUGUACUGACGCUCAUGCACGAAAGCGUGGGGAGCAAACA